Molecule: ribosomal RNA, 749 nt
Filed under: uncultured Acidobacteriota bacterium
Lineage: Bacteria; Pseudomonadati; Acidobacteriota
Description: bacterial SSU rRNA
Rfam family: Bacterial small subunit ribosomal RNA
Source: RNAcentral
GAUCCUGGCUCAGAAUCAACGCUGGCGGCGUGCCUCAGACAUGCAAGUCGAACGAUUAAGACUUCCUUCGGGAAGUGUAUAAAGUGGCGCACGGGUGAGUAACACGUAAGUAAUCUACCUUCGAGUGGGGAAUAACCCGGGGAAACCCGAGCUAAUACCGCAUAACGCAGCGGCAUCGCAAGAUGACAGUUGUUAAAGGAAUUUAUUUCGCUUGAAGAGGAGCUUGCGGCAGAUUAGCUAGUUGGUAAGGUAACGGCUUACCAAGGCUACGAUCUGUAUCCGGUCUAAGAGGACGGUCGGACACACUGACACUGAAUAACGGGUCAGACUCCUACGGGAGGCAGCAGUCGGGAAUUUUGGGCAAUGGGCGAAAGCCUGACCCAGCAACGCCGCGUGAAGGAUGAAGUAUUUCGGUAUGUAAACUUCGAAAGAAUAGGAAGAAUAAAUGACGGUACUAUUUAUAAGCUCCGGCUAACUACGUGCCAGCAGCCGCGGUAAUACGUAGGGAGCAAGCGUUGUUCGGAUUUACUGGGCGUAAAGGGCGCGUAGGCGGCGCGGUAAGUCACUUGUGAAAUCUCUGAGCUUAACUCAGAACGGCCAAGUGAUACUGCAGUGCUAGAGUGCAGAAGGGGCAAUCGGAAUUCUUGGUGUAGCGGUGAAAUGCGUAGAUAUCAAGAGGAACACCUGAGGUGAAGACGGGUUGCUGGGCUGACACUGACGCUGAGGCGCGAAAGCCAGGGGAGCAAACG